GACGUAGGGCGCAAGCGUUGUCCGGAUUUAUUGGGCGUAAAGAGCUCGUAGGCGGCCUGUCGCGUCGACUGUGAAAACUCACGGCUCAACCGUGGGACUGCAGUCGAUACGGGCAGGCUAGAGUUCGGUAGGGGAGACUGGAAUUCCUGGUGUAGCGGUGAAAUGCGCAGAUAUCAGGAGGAACACCGAUGGCGAAGGCAGGUCUCUGGGCCGAUACUGACGCUGAGGAGCGAAAGCGUGGGGAGCGAACAGG
RNAcentral lists this ribosomal RNA (253 nucleotides) under uncultured bacterium. Its description in RNAcentral is "partial 16S ribosomal RNA". It matches the Rfam family "Bacterial small subunit ribosomal RNA", at positions 524 to 776 of the family's 1533-position model. The record is from RNAcentral.